This 253-nucleotide ribosomal RNA is filed under the name uncultured bacterium. RNAcentral's name for it is "partial 16S ribosomal RNA". It matches the Rfam family "Bacterial small subunit ribosomal RNA", at positions 524 to 776 of the family's 1533-position model. The record is from RNAcentral.
UACGGGGGGGGCAAGCGUUGUUCGGAAUUACUGGGCGUAAAGGGUGCGUAGGCGGCUUUCUAAGUUGGAUGUGAAAACUCUGGGCUCAACCCAGAGCCUGCAUCCAAAACUGGGAGGCUAGGGUCCUGGAGGGGAGAGCGGAAUUCCUGGUGUAGCGGUGAAAUGCGUAGAUAUCAGGAGGAACACCGGUGGCGAAAGCGGCUCACUGGACCGUUUCUGACGCUGAGGUGCGAAAGCCAGGGGAGCAAACGGG